Long non-coding RNA from Amblyraja radiata (thorny skate), 133 nucleotides. RefSeq lists it as uncharacterized. The transcript has 3 exons. The record is from RefSeq and is a predicted model, not a curated record. NCBI's taxonomy places the organism in Eukaryota, Metazoa, Chordata, Chondrichthyes, Rajiformes, Rajidae.
GUUUCUGAAGGAGGAAGCUGAUGGGAAGAGGAGGGUUAGUGAUGAAGAUAAAGCACUCUCAGUGACAGACGCUGCCUUGCCGAUUGAAACAUUUGAUCACCACUUUUUGAUGAACACGCUGUGGAGAGAAACA